Molecule: ribosomal RNA, 253 nt
Filed under: uncultured bacterium
Lineage: Bacteria
Description: partial 16S ribosomal RNA
Rfam family: Bacterial small subunit ribosomal RNA
Source: RNAcentral
UACAGAGGUCUCAAGCGUUGUUCGGAUUCAUUGGGCGUAAAGGGUGCGUAGGCGGCGCGGUAAGUCGGGUGUGAAAUUUCGGAGCUUAACUCCGAAACUGCAUUCGAUACUGCCGUGCUUGAGGACUGGAGAGGAGACUGGAAUUUACGGUGUAGCAGUGAAAUGCGUAGAGAUCGUAAGGAAGACCAGUGGCGAAGGCGGCAUCCUGGACCGACAUUGACGCUGAACGGCGAAAGCUAGGGGAGCAAACGGG